CUUGCUUAUUUGUUGGGCCUUUUUGUCAAUUGGAGAGUACUUGCAGUUUUAGGAAUUUUGCCUUGUACAAUAUUAAUACCUGGAUUAUUUUUCAUACCAGAAUCUCCAAGAUGGUUGGCCAAGAUGAGAAUGACAGAAGAGUUUGAGACUUCUUUGCAAGUGUUUCGAGGAUUUGAUACUGAUAUAUCACUUGAAGUAAAUGAAAUUAAGAGAUCUGUGGGAUCAAUGGGAAAAAGUGUUACAAUCCAGUUUGCAG
Cicer arietinum (chickpea) is the source of this 256-nucleotide non-coding RNA. Lineage: Eukaryota; Viridiplantae; Streptophyta; Magnoliopsida; Fabales; Fabaceae. The record is from RefSeq and is a predicted model, not a curated record.